UACGAAGGGGGCUAGCGUUGCUCGGAAUGACUGGGCGUAAAGGGCGCGUAGGCGGAUGGUACAGUCAGAUGUGAAAUUCCCGGGCUCAACCUGGGGGCUGCAUUUGAUACGUAUGAUCUUGAGUGGGGAAGAGGGUCGUGGAAUUCCCAGUGUAGAGGUGAAAUUCGUAGAUAUUGGGAAGAACCCCGGUGGCGAAGGCGGCGACCUGGUCCUUAUACUGACGCUGAGGCGCGAAAGCGUGGGGAGCAAACAGG
This 254-nucleotide ribosomal RNA is filed under the name uncultured bacterium. Its description in RNAcentral is "partial 16S ribosomal RNA". It matches the Rfam family "Bacterial small subunit ribosomal RNA", at positions 524 to 776 of the family's 1533-position model. The record is from RNAcentral.